GGGCAAUGUCGUCGUAUUUGCUUCAGAAAGUGCUUCCAGUAGAAAGAAAGGAGCCUCAAAGAAACCACUCUCAAAGCAGGAGAAAGCUGUAAUCUGUAUCCCCACUCCCUGGUUGGUUAUUAUUUCUGGAUACCAGCUAUUACAAUUGCUUCUAAUCACUGGUUACUGCAGACAAAAUCCACCCUCCCCUUUUGCUUCUCUUCUGGAAGCAGUUUUGAAACACAGAAAAAAGCUGGUGUGCACCUCCUGUAUAGGGACUCUGAGAAAAAUGAAGGUGAAUCAACAAAAGAAAAGGCUCUGGAAACCAGAUUAUCUUAUCCUCUCAGAAGAAAGGUGAUAAAUCAAACUUAUUACAUUCCUCGA
RNAcentral lists this long non-coding RNA (363 nucleotides) under Crocodylus porosus (Australian saltwater crocodile). Its description in RNAcentral is "lncRNA (ENSCPRG00005010053.1)". The record is from RNAcentral. Lineage: Eukaryota; Metazoa; Chordata; Crocodylia; Crocodylidae.